Molecule: ribosomal RNA, 253 nt
Filed under: uncultured bacterium
Lineage: Bacteria
Description: partial 16S ribosomal RNA
Rfam family: Bacterial small subunit ribosomal RNA
Source: RNAcentral
UACAGAGGUCCCAAGCGUUGUUCGGAUUCACUGGGCGUAAAGGGUGCGUAGGUGGUGAGGUAAGUCGGAUGUGAAAUCUCCAGGCUCAACCUGGAAAUGGCAUUGGAAACUACCUUGCUAGAGGGUUUGAGGGGGGACUGGAAUACUUGGUGUAGCAGUGAAAUGCGUAGAUAUCAAGUGGAACACCAGUGGCGAAGGCGCGUCCCUGGAAAAUACCUGACACUGAGGCACGAAAGCUAGGGGAGCGAACGGG